Molecule: ribosomal RNA, 254 nt
Filed under: uncultured bacterium
Lineage: Bacteria
Description: partial 16S ribosomal RNA
Rfam family: Bacterial small subunit ribosomal RNA
Source: RNAcentral
GACGAAGGGGGCUAGCGUUGUUCGGAAUUACUGGGCGUAAAGCGCGUGUAGGCGGUUGCCCAAGUCGGGUGUGAAAGCCUUGAGCUCAACUCAAGAAAUGCACUCGGUACUGGGUGACUAGAGGACCGGAGAGGAUAGUGGAAUUCCCAGUGUAGUGGUGAAAUACGUAGAGAUUGGGAAGAACGCCGGCGGCGAAAGCGACUCUCUGGUCGGAUCCGUGACGCUGAGGAGCGAAAGCGUGGGGAGCGAACAGG